This 93-nucleotide small RNA is filed under the name Mariniflexile fucanivorans. Its description in RNAcentral is "Flavo-1 RNA". The record is from RNAcentral. Lineage: Bacteria; Pseudomonadati; Bacteroidota; Flavobacteriia; Flavobacteriales; Flavobacteriaceae.
AUUUACCUGCGUUAGGGAUUGAAGCGAAAAGCCCACAGCGAUCCCGAUAUUUAUCGGGAGCGCGAGGACUUGUAGAGGAAAGCCCGACCCGAU